GACGAACGCUGGCGGCGUGCCUAAUACAUGCAAGUUGAGCGCUGAAGGUUGGUACUUGUACCAACUGGAUGAGCAGCGAACGGGUGAGUAACGCGUGGGGAAUCUGCCUUUGAGCGGGGGACAACAUUUGGAAACGAAUGCUAAUACCGCAUAAAAACUUUAAACACAAGUUUUAAGUUUGAAAGAUGCAAUUGCAUCACUCAAAGAUGAUCCCGCGUUGUAUUAGCUAGUUGGUGAGGUAAAGGCUCACCAAGGCGAUGAUACAUAGCCGACCUGAGAGGGUGAUCGGCCACAUUGGGACUGAGACACGGCCCAAACUCCUACGGGAGGCAGCAGUAGGGAAUCUUCGGCAAUGGACGAAAGUCUGACCGAGCAACACCGCGUGAGUGAAGAAGGUUUUCGGAUCGUAAAACUCUGUUGGUAGAGAAGAACGUUGGUGAGAGUGGAAAGCUCAUCAAGUGGCGGUAACUACCCAGAAAGGGACGGCUAACUACGUG
This 497-nucleotide ribosomal RNA is filed under the name uncultured bacterium. RNAcentral describes it as "partial 16S ribosomal RNA". It matches the Rfam family "Bacterial small subunit ribosomal RNA", at positions 28 to 507 of the family's 1533-position model. The record is from RNAcentral.